This 1900-nucleotide long non-coding RNA is filed under the name Geospiza fortis (medium ground-finch). RNAcentral's name for it is "lncRNA (ENSGFOG00000008031.1)". The record is from RNAcentral. Lineage: Eukaryota; Metazoa; Chordata; Aves; Passeriformes; Thraupidae.
CCGGGGCCGCCGGCCCGCGGCUCUCUCAGCCUCCAUCGCGCCUUCCUGCGGAGCCCGCUGGGCCUGCUACGCCUGGGGCAGCUGGUUCUGGGCGCUGCCUUCUGGGUGACGGUUGCGGCUCAUAAGUACGAGGGGGCGGCCCACUUCGCUCUGUUUGCCGCCGUCCUCAUCUGGCUGCUCACCCUGGCCCUCUUCGGGCUGAGCCUGCUGGGGCGCUGGGAGCUGGUGCCCUGGUUGGGCUCCCGCUGGCUCCUCACCAACCUGGUGCACGACCUGGCACUGGGUGUGGGGCUCUAUGCAGCUGCCACCGGCAUCAUGGGUCAUAAGGCCAAGCAGAGAAGCUUUUGCAACCUGCCGGGCUACAGCCAGCACUGCCUGUACAGUGCCUACCUGAGCGCCUCCAUCUGCGGGGGCAUCACUGCCUGCCUGUACCUCUUCUCGGGGCUCUACUGCCUGUUGCGGCGCUGCCAGGACCAGCGAGACAUCAUCUGACAUCCCGUGCCACUUGGCUCCCCUUCUCAGCCGCAGACAGAACACAGCCUGUCUUUGGGAUGAAAUGACCCUGCCACCCCAUCCCCUCCUGGCUGACUGCACUGCAAUUCCUCCAGAGACUCCUGCACAGACAGAUGGACAGAGGGCUUCGCCGAGCACGGCUUCCCCUGCAGCGCACCGAGACAGCGUGGACACCCAGCCACUGCACAGGCCCUUCUCCCAGCCCUGGACUGACGUAGGCUACUGCAAGUGGAAGGACCCAAAUGAAGAGCCCCUAAGAGGGAUACCAAUCUUUGGGAGCCCCCCUAGGACUCAAGCCAAAAUCCCCUGCCCCUGGUCUUGCCAGUGCUGCAUGCUCAGAGAGGUUUGUGGCUCCAAGCCACCCAGAGCCACUGAACCAGCCCUGCGGCCAGACUACUCCAAAAGGGACAGAAACAGUCUCGCUGAUGGUUCUGGAGACCAGCCUGCAGCCCUGCCUGUCUCUGCUACACUUGGUUUAUCAUCCUGGAAAAUCUUCAUCUCUGGACUCUGUGGGACUGGGCAGUGCCUGGAGACUGUGGUGAGGUGGAGGGGAAGGGUGAGCACUGCAGCAUGGCAGUCUGUGCUGGCACUCUGGCCAUGAGGGAGCUGGGGCCAGGCAUUGUGGGAGCACAACCUAUCUUGGAGAACAGAAGAGGACACUGGCACUGGAGCCAGCCCAGCCCUGGACCAGCCUCCAGAACCCACCAGGUGCCAAGCCCUGACGACGCCAUGUAGGGCUGACUAGAGAAAUGGGCAGCCAGAGACAGAAUUUUUGGAGCAGUGCCACACUAGGGCUGCCCUGCCACAAGCCCUCCUCACCCUGCCUGGAGAGAGGUUUCUAUUGCUCCCGCUUCAAGGGAAGGUCUGCUCCAUUCUCUCUGUAGACUUAGAUCAACGAGAUGGGUGUCCCCAGCAGCUGGCCACAGCUGCCUAUUGCCUGGGGUUCCCUCGCACCUUUUUUGAGGUGGAGAGCAACAGCCAUGGUUCCCCUGGGGCCUUGAAGGGGUCUGGGAUUGGUACUGGGUCACCACUUCCAUCAUGAUGUGCUGUCCCAGUGCAUACCACAUCAUGCUCGGGCGCCCUGCCCAGCCCCAGGCCAUGUACCCCUUCUUUGGGUAGGACAUGCUGUCUGUGCCCUGUGUCAAGGCUGGUCCCUGACACUGCCUGCCUCUGCCUUACUCUGGCACAGCCCUUGGCCUAGGCUGUCCAAAAUGCCCUCGGUGCUUCUGCCACCACAAGUGCCUUCCUGGCUUUCUGCAGCCCUAUCUGUCACACCAGCUCUAUCCCCCUACAGCCUCCUUUCAGGUGCCAAUGGAUUCACCUUCCAAAUAAAGCAAUAUUGGCGCUCACUGGGUGUCUGGGGCUUUGUGCUGGAGCUGGGAUCUGC